UUAUCWGGGGGAUAGCCUUUCGAAAGGGAGAUUAAUACCCCAUAAUAUACUGAGUGGCAUCACUUAUUAUUGAAAACUCCGGUGGAUAGAGAUGGGCACGCGCAAGAUUAGAUAGUUGGUGAGGUAACGGCUCACCAAGUCAAUGAUCUUUAGGGGGCCUGAGAGGGUGAUCCCCCACACUGGUACUGAGACACGGACCAGACUCCUACGGGAGGCAGCAGUGAGGAAUAUUGGACAAUGGGUGAGAGCCUGAUCCAGCCAUCCCGCGUGAAGGACGACGGCCCUAUGGGUUGUAAACUUCUUUUGUACAGGGAUAAACCUUUUCNACGUGUGGAUAGCUGAAGGUACUGUACGAAUAAGCACCGGCUAACUCCGUGCCAGCAGCCGCGGUAAUACGGAGGGUGCAAGCGUUAUCCGGAUUUAUUGGGUUUAAAGGGUCCGUAGGCGGAUCUGUAAGUCAGUGGUGAAAUCUCAUAGCUUAACUAUGAAACUGCCAUUGAUACUGCAGGUCUUGAGUAAGGUAGAAGUAGCUGGAAUAAGUAGUGUAGCGGUGAAAUGCAUAGAUAUUACUUAGAACACCAAUUGCGAAGGCAGGUUACUAUGUCUUAACUGACGCUGAUGGACGAAAGCGUGGGGAGCGAACAGGAUUAGAUACCCUGGUAGUCCACGCUGUAAACGAUGCUAACUCGUUUUUGGGUUUUCGGAUUCAGAGACUAAGCGAAAGUGAUAAGUUAGCCACCUGGGGAGUACGAACGCAAGUUUGAAACUCAAAGGAAUUGACGGGGGCCCGCACAAGCGGUGGAUUAUGUGGUUUAAUUCGAUGAUACGCGAGGAACCUUACCAAGACUUAAAUGGGAAUUGACAGAUUUAGAAAUAGAUCCUCCUUCGGGCAAUUUUCAAGGUGCUGCAUGGUUGUCGUCAGCUCGUGCCGUGAGGUGUUAGGUUAAGUCCUGCAACGAGCGCAACCCCUGUCACUAGUUGCCAUCAUUCAGUUGGGGACUCUAGUGAGACUGCCUACGCAAGUAGAGAGGAAGGUGGGGAUGACGUCAAAUCAUCACGGCCCUUACGUCUUGGGCCACACACGUAAUACAAUGGCCGGUACAGAGGGCAGCUACACAGCGAUGUGAUGCAAAUCUCGAAAGCCGGUCUCAGUUCGGAUUGGAGUCUGCAACUCGACUCUAUGAAGCUGGAAUCGCUAGUAAUCGCGCAUCARCCAUG
Molecule: ribosomal RNA, 1218 nt
Filed under: Chryseobacterium sp.
Lineage: Bacteria; Pseudomonadati; Bacteroidota; Flavobacteriia; Flavobacteriales; Weeksellaceae
Description: bacterial SSU rRNA
Source: RNAcentral